CGCGGGUCCAAGCCUGUAGUCCCAAAUCGGAUAUCUCUGCAGCUGAUAACAAGCAAAAGAGAAGCCAGGCAACAGCCAUAUUAAAGAAGAAAACAAUCAACUCUGAGG
This is an unclassified non-coding RNA of Neogale vison (American mink), 108 nucleotides long. The record is from Ensembl. NCBI's taxonomy places the organism in Eukaryota, Metazoa, Chordata, Mammalia, Carnivora, Mustelidae.